UGAGAGAACCAUGUCGAAGGAACUCGACAAAAUGACCCCGUAACUUCGGGAUAUUGGGUGCUCUCCUAUCUUUUGAUUAGGAAAGCGGCACAUACCAGGGGGCAGCGACUAUUUAUUAAAAACACAUGACUCUGCCAAGUGUUAACACGAUGUAUAGAGUCUAACACUUUCUUGGUGCUGGAAGGUCAAAAGGAGAAGUCUUAUAAGCUUUGAAUGGAAGCCCCGGUUAAUGGCGUCAGUAACUCUAACUAUCCUAAGGUAGCGAAAUUCCUUGUUGCAUAAGUAGCAACCUGCACGAAUGGUGUAACGAUUGCCUCGUUGUCUCCGACAUGGACUCGGUGAAAUUGAAUUCUUCGUGAAGAUGCGAAGUACCAACGGCUAGACGGUAAGACCUUGUGCACCUUGACUAUAGCUUCGCAGUGACAACCUUGAUCGAAUGUGUAGGAUAGGUGGGAGGUGGUGACACAGAUCUCCCAAUCUUGAAAGACCACUCUUUCGUCUAACAAUGCCUAACUGCCGCACCGAUCAUUCGGGGGGGGUGGGUAGUUUAUCUGGGGCGGAUAAUUCCUAAAGAGUAACGAACGUGUGCGAAGGUAAAGAUUAUGCUUGUGAGCGUAAUGGUAUAAGCCUGCCUGAUUGUGAGACGGACUGGUCGAAUAGAGACGAAAGUCGGCCAUAGUGAUCCGGGAGUCCCAUGUGGAAGGGCUCUUGCUCAACGGAUCAAAGGUACGUCGAGGAUAACAGGCUGAUGACUCUCAAGAGCUCUUAUCGACGGAGUCGUUUGGCACCUCGAUGUCGACUCAUCACAUCCUGGGGUUGAAGAUGGUACCAAGGGUUUUGUUGUUCGCCGAUUAAAGUGGUAUGUGAGUGGGGUUUAGAACGUCGUGAGGCAGCUCGGUUUCUAUCUACCGUUGGUGUUAAAGGAAGAACUGCGAGGAGCUAACCCUAGUAUGAGAGGACUGGGUUGGGCCAACCUUUGGUGUACCGGUUGUUAUGCCAAUAGCAGCGUCGGGCAGCUAAGUUGGUAUGGAAGAACUACUGCGCCGUAGCUGAGCUGAGCUAUAGACUCACUCCAGAAGCAACGAGAGGAGUUUACGUCAGUUUAGUCACUCGUUGUCUUAAACAUUGGAAAUCCUUCCCUAUAGAAGUUCUCGUACGAUGUUUUUUAACAGAACUUCGAUAGGCUAGAGGUGUAAGCACCGCGAGGUGU
RNAcentral lists this ribosomal RNA (1210 nucleotides) under Amborella trichopoda. RNAcentral describes it as "rRNA LSU_rRNA_eukarya". It matches the Rfam family "Bacterial large subunit ribosomal RNA", at positions 1691 to 2886 of the family's 2925-position model. The record is from RNAcentral. Lineage: Eukaryota; Viridiplantae; Streptophyta; Magnoliopsida; Amborellales; Amborellaceae.